RNA transcript from Saccostrea echinata, 866 nucleotides. RefSeq lists it as uncharacterized. The record is from RefSeq and is a predicted model, not a curated record. The transcript has 6 exons. Lineage: Eukaryota; Metazoa; Mollusca; Bivalvia; Ostreida; Ostreidae.
CAAAAGUAGUCAACAUGACUAGCUUUAGCUGUCCAUGCAAGUCAUGUGAUGCCAACCAAUUCAGAUGAAGAAAUGGACAAUGUAUCCCGGCAACCUUCUAGUGUGAUGGUGUCAUCGAUUGCGACAACGAUGAAGUUGGAUGCUUGGUACAACCUCAUUUCACACCUCCCUCUAUCCCCACACUGUCACCAGUUCCCGGCUCUCAUGUGGUGCCAGUCAACCAGUCAACUCCUUUCCACGACGGCCAUCAGACACACACCAAACCUCAAACUUGCCACUCUCGCUGGUCAGGCUGGAUCAACACGCACCACCCUAAGGACCCAGGAAUUCAUGGGGAUCAUGAGCCCUCUGCCGCCCAAUUUUCCAAAACCAACAAUUUCUGUAUUAGUGGCUCUAUAACAAAAGUUGAAUGUUACUCUGUCUCAAUGGAUGCCCCUGCUGAGUCCUCGGGCGAGAUCCUGACCUGUACCCCCGACAGGGGACUCGUGUGUGGCGACUCGGACAAAUUUCCAUUCCAUGCAGAGAUUACAAGAUCAGAUACAUCUGCGCAUGUGCUAACAAUACCUCAGUUGUGUCCCCUGUCACAACGCCAGCCCCUCAGCCCUCUCGUGAUUCUGUCCACUGCCAAGCUCUGGUCAAACCUCCUAUGAUGCCCGGGGAGGUGGCCCGAAUCGUGAAGACCGCUGACAGGUGUUGUGAUAAGUAUGAGUUGGUUUGUAAGCCUGAAACCUGUACGAUCCACCCCCUGACUUGCACCCCUCCUCAGCUAAUGAAGAAUAUCAACCCGGGGGAAUGCUGUCCAACAUUCCAGUGUGAGUGCCCAGCAAUGUGUCCAACCGCAGUUAAACCGACAUGUCAAGUGGUAA